GACGUAGGGCGCGAGCGUUGUCCGGAUUUAUUGGGCGUAAAGAGCUCGUAGGCGGCUUGUCGCGUCGACUGUGAAAUCCCGCGGCUCAACUGCGGGUCUGCAGUCGAUACUGGCAGGCUAGAGUUCGGUAGGGGAGACUGGAAUUCCUGGUGUAGCGGUGAAAUGCGCAGAUAUCAGGAGGAACACCGGUGGCGAAGGCGGGUCUCUGGGCCGAUACUGACGCUGAGGAGCGAAAGCGUGGGGAGCGAACAGG
RNAcentral lists this ribosomal RNA (253 nucleotides) under uncultured bacterium. Its description in RNAcentral is "partial 16S ribosomal RNA". It matches the Rfam family "Bacterial small subunit ribosomal RNA", at positions 524 to 776 of the family's 1533-position model. The record is from RNAcentral.